CGCUGGCGGCGCGUUUAAGCAUGCAAAUCGAGCGGCAAGGGCCUUCGGGCCCCUAGAGCGGCGGACGGGUGAGUAACACGUGGACAAUCUGCCCCCCGGCCCGGGAUAGCCCAGGGAAACCUGGAUUAAUACCGGAUGAGACGGGACCCGCGAUGGCGGGACCCGGGAAAGGCGCUGCGGCGCCGCCGGGGGAUGAGUCUGCGUCCCAUUAGCUAGACGGCGGGGUAACGGCCCACCGUGGCGACGAUGGGUAGCCGGCCUGAGAGGGUGGACGGCCACAUUGGAACUGAGACACGGUCCAGACUCCUACGGGAGGCAGCAGCUAAGAAUCUUCCGCAAUGGGCGAAAGCCUGACGGAGCGACGCCCGCGUGAACGAAGAAGGCCGUGAGGUUGUAAAGUUCUUUUCGGGAGGGGGAACAACCGUGGCAGGGAAUGGCCGCGGGAUGACGUGAAUCCCGGAAUAAGCCCCGGCUAACUACGUGCCAGCAGCCGC
This 494-nucleotide ribosomal RNA is filed under the name uncultured bacterium. Its description in RNAcentral is "bacterial SSU rRNA". It matches the Rfam family "Bacterial small subunit ribosomal RNA", at positions 34 to 518 of the family's 1533-position model. The record is from RNAcentral.